CAGUAGCCGCGGUAAUACGGAGGAUCCAAGCGUUAUCCGGAAUCAUUGGGUUUAAAGGGUCCGUAGGCGGUCUUGUAAGUCAGUGGUGAAAGCCCAUCGCUCAACGGUGGAACGGCCAUUGAUACUGCAGGACUUGAAUUAUUGGGAAGUAACUAGAAUAUGUAGUGUAGCGGUGAAAUGCUUAGAGAUUACAUGGAAUACCAAUUGCGAAGGCAGGUUACUACCAAUUGAUUGACGCUGAUGGACGAAAGCGUGGGUAGCGAACAGGAUUAGAGACCCCAGUAGUCCCUGUCUCUUAUAA
This 301-nucleotide ribosomal RNA is filed under the name uncultured bacterium. Its description in RNAcentral is "partial 16S ribosomal RNA". It matches the Rfam family "Bacterial small subunit ribosomal RNA", at positions 509 to 809 of the family's 1533-position model. The record is from RNAcentral.